UUAGACAAUUUAGAAAUCCUAAAUUUAGGCAAUGAUAUAUUGGGAGGAUAAACUGGUGAGUUUUUCUUUCUCAUUCUCUACUUCUAUUAUGUGAAGAGAAAGAGAAGGAGAAAAAGGGAAGAUGUUGAAGAGAAAGAGCUCAUGAAAUGAAGAGGAGAAGAAUAACGGAUGGAGAAAAAUGAGGUUCUACAACAACUCAAGCUUGAAUCUAAAGAGGGAGAAGGAGAUUUGAGGGAAAAUAAAGCUUAUUUCUGAAAAAUAUCUAAGAGAUUGGGAGGUCUUGUUUAGUUUAAGCUUCUAAAUACUUGAGUACAAGAUUUCAGAAUUUCAGAUGAAGAUCAAUGCUAUAAGACCGGAAAGAAACCAGCCAUAUGGAUGAAUAUUUCAUUUGUUAGCUAAUAAGUGUAAAUUUUCUUGUAAUUAAUGGAUAUGUUGUAUUUCUCAAUAGAAAUGUACAAUUUUAAGGGAUUUGAAUUAUAAGUAUUGCCACCAAGGGAAGAUCCUGACAAUUUGAUGUAAUGGAACUUUGUAAUAUUAAUAAACAUUUAAUCCUUAUGGAGGAUAUUAUGAGUAAGAUUUUUGAUGAGUUGUCAUAU
Long non-coding RNA from Macadamia integrifolia, 596 nucleotides. RefSeq lists it as uncharacterized. The record is from RefSeq and is a predicted model, not a curated record. The transcript has 2 exons. NCBI's taxonomy places the organism in Eukaryota, Viridiplantae, Streptophyta, Magnoliopsida, Proteales, Proteaceae.